GAUGAACGCUGGCGGCGUGCCUAAUACAUGCAAGUCGAGCGAACAGACGAGGAGCUUGCUCCUCUGACGUUAGCGGCGGACGGGUGAGUAACACGUGGAUAACCUACCUAUAAGACUGGGAUAACUUCGGGAAACCGGAGCUAAUACCGGAUAAUAUAUUGAACCGCAUGGUUCAAUAGUGAAAGACGGUUUUGCUGUCACUUAUAGAUGGAUCCGCGCCGCAUUAGCUAGUUGGUAAGGUAACGGCUUACCAAGGCGACGAUGCGUAGCCGACCUGAGAGGGUGAUCGGCCACACUGGAACGGGGACACGGUCCAGACUCCUACGGGAGGCAGCAGUAGGGAAUCUUCCGCAAUGGGCGAAAGCCUGACGGAGCAACGCCGCGUGAGUGAUGAAGGUCUUCGGAUCGUAAAACUCUGUUAUUAGGGAAGAACAAAUGUGUAAGUAACUAUGCACGUCUUGACGGUACCCAAUCAGAAAGCCACGGCUAACUACGUG
Molecule: ribosomal RNA, 497 nt
Filed under: uncultured bacterium
Lineage: Bacteria
Description: partial 16S ribosomal RNA
Rfam family: Bacterial small subunit ribosomal RNA
Source: RNAcentral